This 253-nucleotide ribosomal RNA is filed under the name uncultured bacterium. RNAcentral's name for it is "partial 16S ribosomal RNA". It matches the Rfam family "Bacterial small subunit ribosomal RNA", at positions 524 to 776 of the family's 1533-position model. The record is from RNAcentral.
UACAGAGACUGCAAGCGUUAUUCGGAUUCACUGGGCGUAAAGGGUGCGCAGGCGGUUGUGUGUGUCAGGUGUGAAAGCCCGGGGCUUAACCCCGGAAUUGCGCCUGAAACUACAUGACUAGAGCAUUGGAGAGGGUAGCGGAAUUCACGGUGUAGCAGUGAAAUGCGUAGAUAUCGUGAGGAACACCAGAGGCGAAGGCGGCUACCUGGACAAUUGCUGACGCUCAGGUACGAAAGCGUGGGGAGCAAACAGG